Molecule: ribosomal RNA, 275 nt
Filed under: Inocybe asterospora
Lineage: Eukaryota; Fungi; Basidiomycota; Agaricomycetes; Agaricales; Inocybaceae
Description: partial 25S ribosomal RNA
Rfam family: Eukaryotic large subunit ribosomal RNA (bases 102-275)
Source: RNAcentral
GUAUUAGUGGUAUCUGAGGGGCUACUUUGGGCAUGAUAAAUUUGUCUAUGUCUAUAGUCCCAAUAUGAACGGCUUAAAAUUUACACAUGCUGUUGUUGACUUGACCUCAAAUCAGGUAGGACUACCCGCUGAACUUAAGCAUAUCAAUAAGCGGAGGAAAAGAAACUAACAAGGAUUCCCCUAGUAACUGCGAGUGAAGCGGGAAAAAGCUCAAAUUUGAAAUCUGGCAGUUUUCAACUGUCCGAGUUGUAAUCUAGAGAAGUGUUACCUGUGCU